GAAACAUUUAGUACAUCUGGCGUUAACAAAUAGAAAUUGGAAAUCAUGACCACACUCAUUUUUGCGCGAGGAAUCCCACAUUUAAUCCAGUUAUAUAAUAUUCUUAGUAUUUUAGAUGGACAAUUAUCCUCAAUAAUGUUUCUGCACCGUCUGUGGCAUGCUGACCAGGUGGAAUGAGUCCUCGCAACUGUGCAAUUCCAACAGCAUUCUUAUACUUGCC
Molecule: unclassified non-coding RNA, 220 nt
Filed under: Hevea brasiliensis (rubber tree)
Lineage: Eukaryota; Viridiplantae; Streptophyta; Magnoliopsida; Malpighiales; Euphorbiaceae
Source: RNAcentral